Molecule: ribosomal RNA, 327 nt
Filed under: Triticum aestivum (bread wheat)
Lineage: Eukaryota; Viridiplantae; Streptophyta; Magnoliopsida; Poales; Poaceae
Description: partial small subunit ribosomal RNA
Source: RNAcentral
AUGAAUUCAAACUGUCUUGCAGUCAGAAGGUGUCAGGUCAUGUUGCGUGCAUCUGUAGUCAUUUGGAUGGCAUUUCAGCAGAUUCCAUUGAGCAAAUUGCACCAACAGUGCUUGCUGCGGUACCGAGGAGAAUCACCAAUUCUAGAAUGGUUGAAAGACCUUGAAAGAGAACUUGAUGACCCAAUGAUUAGCCCAGCACUUCUCUCCUUUGGUCAUUGCAAUAUCCAGACUAGUGACAGAGUUGAGGGUCAGGUUGUUUGGCCAUGGUCUACUGGGUACCUACAGCGCCAUAUUUGUUUACUGUGCAUUCUUUCAAGAAUCAUUUGA